GACGAACGCUGGCGGCGUGCUUAACACAUGCAAGUCGAACGGAAAGGCCCUGAUUUUGUGGGGUGAUCGAGUGGCGAACGGGUGAGUAACACGUGAGUAACCUGCCCUUGACUUUGGGAUAACUUCAGGAAACUGGGGCUAAUACCGGAUAGGAGCUCCUGCUGCAUGGUGGGGGUUGGAAAGUUUCGGCGGGUGGGGAUGGAUGGGCGGGUUAUCAGCUUGUUGGUGGGGUAGUGGAUUACCAAGGCUUUGACGGGUAGCCGGCCUGAGAGGGUGACCGGGCACAAUGGGACUGAGAGACGGCCCAGACUCCAACGGGGGGCAGCAGGGGGAAAUAUUGCACAGUGGGCGGAAGCCUGAUGCAGCAGCGCCGCGUGCGGGAUGACGGCCUUCGGGUAGUAAACCGCUUUCGCCUGUGACGAAGCGUGAGUGACGGUAAUCAGUAAAGAAGCACCGGCUAACUACGUG
This 468-nucleotide ribosomal RNA is filed under the name uncultured bacterium. Its description in RNAcentral is "partial 16S ribosomal RNA". It matches the Rfam family "Bacterial small subunit ribosomal RNA", at positions 28 to 507 of the family's 1533-position model. The record is from RNAcentral.